CCUAAUACAUGCAAGACGAACGGUUAAGUUGAGUAGCAAUUACUUAGCCAAGAGUGUCGUACGGGUGACCGUAACACGUAUGACAACCUACCUAUACGAGGAGGAUAGCCGUAAGGGAACCUGGACUUACCCUUCAUAGUAUUAUUGGAUGGCAUCAUUUGAUAAUUAAAACUGAGGUGGUAUAGGAUGGGCAUGCGUCUGAUUAGUUAGUUGGCGGGGUAAUGGCCCACCAAGACGAUGAUCAGUAGGGGUUCUGAGAGGAAGAUCCCCCACACUGGCACUGAGAUACGGGCCAGACUCCUACGGGAGGCAGCAGUAGGGAAUAUUGGUCAAUGGAUGCAAGUCUGAACCAGCCAUGCCGCGUGCAGGAAGAAGGCCUUCUGGGUUGUAAACUGCUUUUGCCAGGGGAUAAAAUUUCCAUGCGCGGAAAACUGAAGGUACCUGGUGAAUAAGCCACGGCUAACUACGUG
Molecule: ribosomal RNA, 470 nt
Filed under: uncultured bacterium
Lineage: Bacteria
Description: bacterial SSU rRNA
Rfam family: Bacterial small subunit ribosomal RNA
Source: RNAcentral